Molecule: ribosomal RNA, 2872 nt
Filed under: Escherichia coli
Lineage: Bacteria; Pseudomonadati; Pseudomonadota; Gammaproteobacteria; Enterobacterales; Enterobacteriaceae
Description: bacterial LSU rRNA
Source: RNAcentral
ACUAAGCGUACACGGUGGAUGCCCUGGCAGUCAGAGGCGAUGAAGGACGUGCUAAUCUGCGAUAAGCGUCGGUAAGGUGAUAUGAACCGUUAUAACCGGCGAUUUCCGAAUGGGGAAACCCAGUGUGUUUCGACACACUAUCAUUAACUGAAUCCAUAGGUUAAUGAGGCGAACCGGGGGAACUGAAACAUCUAAGUACCCCGAGGAAAAGAAAUCAACCGAGAUUCCCCCAGUAGCGGCGAGCGAACGGGGAGCAGCCCAGAGCCUGAAUCAGUGUGUGUGUUAGUGGAAGCGUCUGGAAAGGCGCGCGAUACAGGGUGACAGCCCCGUACACAAAAAUGCACAUGCUGUGAGCUCGAUGAGUAGGGCGGGACACGUGGUAUCCUGUCUGAAUAUGGGGGGACCAUCCUCCAAGGCUAAAUACUCCUGACUGACCGAUAGUGAACCAGUACCGUGAGGGAAAGGCGAAAAGAACCCCGGCGAGGGGAGUGAAAAAGAACCUGAAACCGUGUACGUACAAGCAGUGGGAGCCUCUUUAUGGGGUGACUGCGUACCUUUUGUAUAAUGGGUCAGCGACUUAUAUUCUGUAGCAAGGUUAACCGAAUAGGGGAGCCGAAGGGAAACCGAGUCUUAACUGGGCGUUAAGUUGCAGGGUAUAGACCCGAAACCCGGUGAUCUAGCCAUGGGCAGGUUGAAGGUUGGGUAACACUAACUGGAGGACCGAACCGACUAAUGUUGAAAAAUUAGCGGAUGACUUGUGGYUGGGGGUGAAAGGCCAAUCAAACCGGGAGAUAGCUGGUUCUCCCCGAAAGCUAUUUAGGUAGCGCCUCGUGAAUUCAUCUCCGGGGGUAGAGCACUGUUUCGGCAAGGGGGUCAUCCCGACUUACCAACCCGAUGCAAACUGCGAAUACCGGAGAAUGUUAUCACGGGAGACACACGGCGGGUGCUAACGUCCGUCGUGAAGAGGGAAACAACCCAGACCGCCAGCUAAGGUCCCAAAGUCAUGGUUAAGUGGGAAACGAUGUGGGAAGGCCCAGACAGCCAGGAUGUUGGCUUAGAAGCAGCCAUCAUUUAAAGAAAGCGUAAUAGCUCACUGGUCGAGUCGGCCUGCGCGGAAGAUGUAACGGGGCUAAACCAUGCACCGAAGCUGCGGCAGCGACGCUUAUGCGUUGUUGGGUAGGGGAGCGUUCUGUAAGCCUGUGAAGGUGUGCUGUGAGGCAUGCUGGAGGUAUCAGAAGUGCGAAUGCUGACAUAAGUAACGAUAAAGCGGGUGAAAAGCCCGCUCGCCGGAAGACCAAGGGUUCCUGUCCAACGUUAAUCGGGGCAGGGUGAGUCGACCCCUAAGGCGAGGCCGAAAGGCGUAGUCGAUGGGAAACAGGUUAAUAUUCCUGUACUUGGUGUUACUGCGAAGGGGGGACGGAGAAGGCUAUGUUGGCCGGGCGACGGUUGUCCCGGUUUAAGCGUGUAGGCUGGUUUUCCAGGCAAAUCCGGAAAAUCAAGGCUGAGGCGUGAUGACGAGGCACUACGGUGCUGAAGCAACAAAUGCCCUGCUUCCAGGAAAAGCCUCUAAGCAUCAGGUAACAUCAAAUCGUACCCCAAACCGACACAGGUGGUCAGGUAGAGAAUACCAAGGCGCUUGAGAGAACUCGGGUGAAGGAACUAGGCAAAAUGGUGCCGUAACUUCGGGAGAAGGCACGCUGAUAUGUAGGUGAGGUCCCUCGCGGAUGGAGCUGAAAUCAGUCGAAGAUACCAGCUGGCUGCAACUGUUUAUUAAAAACACAGCACUGUGCAAACACGAAAGUGGACGUAUACGGUGUGACGCCUGCCCGGUGCCGGAAGGUUAAUUGAUGGGGUUAGCGGUAACGCGAAGCUCUUGAUCGAAGCCCCGGUAAACGGCGGCCGUAACUAUAACGGUCCUAAGGUAGCGAAAUUCCUUGUCGGGUAAGUUCCGACCUGCACGAAUGGCGUAAUGAUGGCCAGGCUGUCUCCACCCGAGACUCAGUGAAAUUGAACUCGCUGUGAAGAUGCAGUGUACCCGCGGCAAGACGGAAAGACCCCGUGAACCUUUACUAUAGCUUGACACUGAACAUUGAGCCUUGAUGUGUAGGAUAGGUGGGAGGCUUUGAAGUGUGGACGCCAGUCUGCAUGGAGCCGACCUUGAAAUACCACCCUUUAAUGUUUGAUGUUCUAACGUUGACCCGUAAUCCGGGUUGCGGACAGUGUCUGGUGGGUAGUUUGACUGGGGCGGUCUCCUCCUAAAGAGUAACGGAGGAGCACGAAGGUUGGCUAAUCCUGGUCGGACAUCAGGAGGUUAGUGCAAUGGCAUAAGCCAGCUUGACUGCGAGCGUGACGGCGCGAGCAGGUGCGAAAGCAGGUCAUAGUGAUCCGGUGGUUCUGAAUGGAAGGGCCAUCGCUCAACGGAUAAAAGGUACUCCGGGGAUAACAGGCUGAUACCGCCCAAGAGUUCAUAUCGACGGCGGUGUUUGGCACCUCGAUGUCGGCUCAUCACAUCCUGGGGCUGAAGUAGGUCCCAAGGGUAUGGCUGUUCGCCAUUUAAAGUGGUACGCGAGCUGGGUUUAGAACGUCGUGAGACAGUUCGGUCCCUAUCUGCCGUGGGCGCUGGAGAACUGAGGGGGGCUGCUCCUAGUACGAGAGGACCGGAGUGGACGCAUCACUGGUGUUCGGGUUGUCAUGCCAAUGGCACUGCCCGGUAGCUAAAUGCGGAAGAGAUAAGUGCUGAAAGCAUCUAAGCACGAAACUUGCCCCGAGAUGAGUUCUCCCUGACNUUGAAGACGACGACGUUGAUAGGCCGGGUGUGUAAGCGCAGCGAUGCGUUGAGCUAACCGGUACUAAUGAACCGUGAGGCUUAACC